Molecule: ribosomal RNA, 999 nt
Filed under: Kocuria rosea
Lineage: Bacteria; Bacillati; Actinomycetota; Actinomycetes; Micrococcales; Micrococcaceae
Also listed under: 1 other name
Description: bacterial SSU rRNA
Rfam family: Bacterial small subunit ribosomal RNA
Source: RNAcentral
UGCAAGUCGAACGAUGAUGCCCAGCUUGCUGGGCGGAUUAGUGGCGAACGGGUGAGUAAUACGUGAGUAACCUGCCCUUGACUCUGGGAUAAGCCUGGGAAACUGGGUCUAAUACUGGAUACUACUUCUUACCGCAUGGUGGGUGGUGGAAAGGGUUUUACUGGUUUUGGAUGGGCUCACGGCCUAUCAGCUUGUUGGUGGGGUAAUGGCUCACCAAGGCGACGACGGGUAGCCGGCCUGAGAGGGUGACCGGCCACACUGGGACUGAGACACGGCCCAGACUCCUACGGGAGGCAGCAGUGGGGAAUAUUGCACAAUGGGCGGAAGCCUGAUGCAGCGACGCCGCGUGAGGGAUGACGGCCUUCGGGUUGUAAACCUCUUUCAGUAGGGAAGAAGCGAGAGUGACGGUACCUGCAGAAGAAGCGCCGGCUAACUACGUGCCAGCAGCCGCGGUAAUACGUAGGGCGCAAGCGUUGUCCGGAAUUAUUGGGCGUAAAGAGCUCGUAGGCGGUUUGUCGCGUCUGCUGUGAAAGCCCGGGGCUCAACCCCGGGUCUGCAGUGGGUACGGGCAGACUAGAGUGCAGUAGGGGAGACUGGAAUUCCUGGUGUAGCGGUGAAAUGCGCAGAUAUCAGGAGGAACACCGAUGGCGAAGGCAGGUCUCUGGGCUGUUACUGACGCUGAGGAGCGAAAGCAUGGGGAGCGAACAGGAUUAGAUACCCUGGUAGUCCAUGCCGUAAACGUUGGGCACUAGGUGUGGGGGACAUUCCACGUUUUCCGCGCCGUAGCUAACGCAUUAAGUGCCCCGCCUGGGGAGUACGGCCGCAAGGCUAAAACUCAAAGGAAUUGACGGGGGCCCGCACAAGCGGCGGAGCAUGCGGAUUAAUUCGAUGCAACGCGAAGAACCUUACCAAGGCUUGACAUUCACCGGACCGCCCCAGAGAUGGGGUUUCCCUUCGGGGCUGGUGGACAGGUGGUGCAUGGUUGUCGUCAGCUCGUGU